UUCAAACUCAGCUUCAACAAAACAGUUUUAUAUAAGAUAUCUAACUGGUUCAGGUACUAUAACAAAUGUCUUUCUUGUUAACACUUUGGAUUUUUAUUGUUUGUAAAAGGAGGGAUUAGAAGCUGCAUGUUACCAUAUGCCCGCUUUUUUGUGCACAUGCUCAUUUGUACGUCWGAGUCCAGUUUUGUGUCUGUAAUCUCUGUCUGUGCCUGCAUGUGUUCAUGUGUCGCUGUUAGCAGGAGACGGUGGCUGACUAAAUAUUUGUAUAUAUGUUAGUGGACAGGCUCUGCUCCCUCUGGCUUGUGUAAAUGUUAACGAUGCUCGGAGAAAUCUUACCCUGUAAUUGUCAAAAGGGCUUUUUUUCCUUUCACCUGCUACCGGCCUCUUUCCGUUCGGUCUGCUCUAUAACAAUGGCACAGAGAACGCUGCGGAGUGCAAAGUGAUUGAUGCUAGACUCUUUUUGGCCCGACUUCAGAUGGGGGCCUGACAGGAAGUGGCCAUUCCUCCCUUCCACCCUAACAAGGCUGCAAUAGCGUGAGGAAAGGAAAGUGCUGAUCGGGAAUCUCUUAAACGUCCCAUUUUUAGCUAAGUGCCAACCAAUCUAAAAGACAAGUAUAAACAAAGCUUUCGAGACUAAUGAACCAGCUGAAACACAGGGAAGUUGAUAGACGCCACACAACCGAACCCAACUUUAUCCGCUCCGUCUCAUCCCCGACCAUCAGUCGGUUUGUCGGUUUUUGUCCUGUCAGGGAGGGAAGAGACACAGGCUCAUCUCUGCUGCAUUCUUUCCAUUUUACCGAAGAGCUGUGUGGUACAGAAGGCUCGAGUGGGCAGGCGUGCGGCUUUGGCCACAGGAAGCCGCGAAUUCUUCGAAGAAUGGAAGACGUCUCGUGGGGGAGACGUGCCGCUUSGCCCCCCCUCCCCACCCCCACAGCACGCCCACACGCCACCCCAAAAUGACCCCUGACCCUUUCACGUGUUUAUAUCAGACCAUCGUGGAAGUGCGAAAUAGUGAUGAGUCACUCUGGCCGAGUGUUUACACUUCGGAGUCACGCAAGGAAGGAAAUCAGCCACGGUCUGCUAAAAGUGGCGAGGUGAGAGAGAGAAGCUGUGAUUUUACCUCUCAGAGACAUUUUUUAUUCCUCGUCAGCCCAGAAAACAGCCGAAUUAGCAGCACAGAGGACUGGAGUCRAGAAAAAAGGCAAGCAAAGGUCAAAACGUGUUGGACUAAGGGCGUGGCAAAGUGCAGGCGUAUGAUAUUUUCAGAGAAAAACCAGAAUGACAAAUUAUAUGAAAUUUUAAAGGUGGUAAUUUUUUUUUAAUAUAUGCUUUUGUAUAUGUCCCAGUUCUCUUGUAGACCAGGCUGUGAUAACUAAUGUCACAGAUGUUUCUGACUUUCUUUUUUGUUUAUGUCAGAAAAAAAUGGUUUUAAUUUGCCGACUGGACCUUUUUACUGUAAUUAUUCUUAAUCUUUUCAUUUACAAAAAAAGUCCUUUGUUCCUUUUGAUUAAUUAACACAGAAAAACAAUUGAAAUGUUACAACCAUAACACCAGAGGUGUGCUGACAUUUACUUCAUUUCAGUGCUUAAGUAACUUUUUGAGGGUCUUGUAUUUCUUUUAAUUUGUAACUUUUACCUUUAUUUUGUUACAUACAAAACAUAAAUAUGAAGCUUUUAUUUCAUUACUUUAAACUUUACACACUUGUUACACUCUACAAAUUUAAAUAUGACAGGAAUGSAGUUGUUUCUGCACUCUGAAAAGUGUUAAAUCUACUUUACCAAGUUAAGUCAACUGGUUCCAGCCGAGUUGAGUAAAUGUAAAGCAAUUUACUCAUCUCAGUUUAGUUGAACCGCUUGACUUAAUUUGGUCAAGUUAUUUCUUAGUGUCAAUUUUUUUUUUACUUUCCGAAUGAUUUUUUGCAGUUUGGACUUUUACUUAAGCCCCUUUCUUAUGAGUGAAAUUAAUUUUUGCCAAAUAGGCCUACUUAUUUUUAUGAAAGUGUUUUUUACUUUUACUUAAUUACUUUUUUCAAGUAAUUUAUACGCCACUGCAUAACACCACAAAAAUGAUGUGCACUUGUUUUAUUAAACUUUCCAGUAGCCUUGUUUUAGUAACUGCUGCAUUUUGUUGUUUCUUUUCCAUAAUCUGAUAUUUUAUUUCUCAUUGUGUUCAUUUGUAAUUCUGUAAGACCUCUAACGUCUGCAGCGUCUUUGUAAUGUUACUAGCUUUUAUUCUAAAAGAGAAUUUGGAUUUUGAUUGAUGACAGAGUGUCAGUGUYUCCACACGCCUCUCAAACAGUUUUGACGUGAAACUUUCAGCAUUUUCAUUAUGUAUGCCAAACAUCAGGUCAUCGGUUUAUUUUGACACUAUAGGUGACUGCAUCUCCGAGGGAUAUAAAUUAUUAUAAUUUUACAUUUAGGGAAGUGCUCACAAGUGAUUUUAUGCCUGUGUUAUUGCAGUUGUAAACACUUAACACGUACCGUGUCGUCCUCUAACUUUAUAUUCGCUGUCCUGUGAGCGGUGUUUACUGCGGCUUCCACCUCUUUUUCAAACACAGCAUCAUUGUUGUCCUCAAGGCCGCUGGAUUUCAGAUUGCACAGUGACACAGCUGUAAUUGGUGCAGUUGUCUUCACUGAAUAAAAGUGACUUUUUUUUUUUUUUGCGGGGGUUGUUUUUCCAUCACUGUUCUGGUAGCUUCAUUUCUGACUGUGGUGAGGAUCUUUUUACACACCGUCACACACACCGCCACAAUGAGAGAGUCAGAACAGUUAUUGCUGUCAGAGACUUUGAUUGAUUGUUGUGUUUAUCACCAUGUUAUCAAAAAAUCAGGCUCAUCACAGCUGAGCUUAAAGCUCCUAAUUCCAGGCAACUUUGUGUUAAUUAAAGGUUCAUCUAACAGGUUUAUUUUUGCGGUUUUACAUUUUAAAAAUAUGGCUGUCUUUGUUUUUAAGGAUGUGCUGAUUACAUGUGCAUGUUGUCUGGACUGUAUUGUACUUUCAUCAUAAAGAGCCUGUUAUGGUCCUGCAAAACACUGUUAUAAGAAGAGAGGGUUAAUGAGUCUAUGUUCUCUGGAUCAGCAGAGAUUUAUUCUUGCUUUGUUAAUAGAGCCCGCGGCGAGCUGCGUUUGUGUACUUCUGAGGUAAACACAGUCAUGGCAAAGUGGACACGUCGCUGAGUGUGUCCUGACUGGAGACGGAGAGCGCCGUGGCACCGUACUUUCUGAGGGUUAAUGUGAUAAAUGGCCAUUUGGAAAUGGGUCAUGAAUUAGGGUUAAACAGCUCCUUUAAAAGCCCGAGCCUGAGCCGUCGCUGUGGGCAGUUUGAUUGAGGAAUCAGUCAGGUGGCAGAUGUUUCAUGUUGGAAGUCUGUGCUGCUCUCCCUUUCUAGCAAAUGAGCCAAGAAUUGAUGGAAUGACCGAACAGAGCAAUCCAUAAAAAUGUAACCUCAUGAAAUCAAAACAGUAAAUGAUAAGAAAUACACAAAUCAAAUCAUUUGUAAAAAAAAUUAUUUCUGCUGUUAGGUAUUGAUCUUGAGGUCAAAUGAUGUUGAUAGAUGUGGGCACUUCAUUAGAUUUACUUCUGAGACAAGUACAAGACGGUAAUAACAAUAAAACAAAAUCCAUCUUGGUUUGUGAAAAGUUGUUUUAGAAUUUUGUUCACAAACUAAAAYGCUCAGUGAUAUGUUGACUGUUUUAUAUUAACCUCCUGCUGCCCUUGGGUCAAAAUGACCCAUCAGUAAUGCAUACAAAACUAAAAAACAUUUCACAUCUGCCAUAUUAUUUUACUGUGAAGCAUAUUUUUUAUUGCACUAGAUGCUGGUAUUUUGGAACAGGGCRUUUGCUUUACAAAUAUUUGUUUUUAUAUUUUCAAUAAACUGCUAUUAAAUACAA
Austrofundulus limnaeus is the source of this 3888-nucleotide long non-coding RNA. RefSeq lists it as uncharacterized. The record is from RefSeq and is a predicted model, not a curated record. Lineage: Eukaryota; Metazoa; Chordata; Actinopteri; Cyprinodontiformes; Rivulidae. The transcript has 2 exons.